AACACCUCAUAAGAGUCCUUUUGUGUAGGAUUUGAUCAGAGGAGAGGUGUUUAGCUACAGUACAGAGUUGGCCCAAGUUAGUAAAGCAGAGGUUCCAGGUGAGUGGGACUAACUAUGCAUGUUUUAAAUUAAAGAAUGUUUCAGCAUGAUCCAUGCAUCAUAAUUGCCAUGUUAAUGCUAGGAUGGUUAAUACUAAAAGAUAAUAAUGUGACGAACAUGAGACAUGCAUCAUGAAUGCCAUGAGAUAAUAGGUUGCACUAGAACCAUGAAGAUGCUGCAUUGCAUAACUGGAUGAGUAUGCGGAUAAAUGUUGAAUAACCCUUUAGCCCUCAGUAUGACAUGAAAAGUCGAGAAAAGAGUAAUGGAAGAGUCAAGCAUAAAGAGUAUAGUCAGGAGGCCUAAUCGCCCUGACAAAAAGUUUUCAGGAAGCAGUCAGGAGGCCUAAUCGCCCUGACAAAAUGUUUUCAGGAAGUUAGUCAGGAGGCCUAAUCGCCCUGACAAAAUGUUUUCAUGAGCUAGUCAGGAGGCCUAAGCGCCCUGACAAAACGUUUUCAGAAAUCAGUCAGGAGGCCUAAUCGCCCUGACAAAUCUGUUUUCAGAAAGUUAAGUACAAAAGAAAUUUUACAAGUGAGUCAGUUAGGAAGAGGGCUAUAGGUGACAACUUCUUCCUUGAUGUGUAUUAUUGUAAUGUGAUGUAUGACAUAAG
This 706-nucleotide long non-coding RNA is filed under the name Manihot esculenta (cassava). RNAcentral's name for it is "long non-coding RNA (MESC_LNC003869)". The record is from RNAcentral. Lineage: Eukaryota; Viridiplantae; Streptophyta; Magnoliopsida; Malpighiales; Euphorbiaceae.